AGAUCUGAACGUAAGACUUGAGCGUAAUACUUCUGUCAACAUGGAGGUCUGCGAUUUGAGCAAUGUUGGUAUGCAUCCACAUAUAUAGCUUCCGACCAAAUUGGUGAGUUGUUUGGCCUUUGAGGGAUAUCUGAUAGAGCCCUUCCUUUGACGUACCUCUUCUGGAUCAAAGCUUCCCACAACGAGAUUCUGAUGCGCUGAUCUCUUAGGCCGAGGCCUCAGGUGUUAGAGAAUAUCAAGCAAGGAUAUAUGUUAACAAAAGUAAUACUCAAAAUGUAUUAAACUCAAAAACCCAAAAUAUUUUUUUUGAAUUAAAACUAUCUGAU
Molecule: long non-coding RNA, 326 nt
Filed under: Zostera marina
Lineage: Eukaryota; Viridiplantae; Streptophyta; Magnoliopsida; Alismatales; Zosteraceae
Description: long non-coding RNA (ZMAR_LNC004440)
Source: RNAcentral